GGUGGGGUGUCUGAGUGGCCGAAAGAACUGGUCUUGAAAACCAGCGUACGUGAGUACCCAGGGUUCGAAUCCCUGCCCCACCG
RNAcentral lists this transfer RNA (83 nucleotides) under marine gamma proteobacterium HTCC2143. It matches the Rfam family "tRNA". Rfam says of the family: Transfer RNA (tRNA) molecules are approximately 80 nucleotides in length. Their secondary structure includes four short double-helical elements and three loops (D, anti-codon, and T loops). Further hydrogen bonds mediate the characteristic L-shaped molecular structure. tRNAs have two regions of fundamental functional importance: the anti-codon, which is responsible for specific mRNA codon recognition, and the 3' end, to which the tRNAs corresponding amino acid is attached (by aminoacyl-tRNA synthetases). tRNAs cope with the degeneracy of the genetic code in two manners: having more than one tRNA (with a specific anti-codon) for a particular amino acid; and 'wobble' base-pairing, i.e. permitting non-standard base-pairing at the 3rd anti-codon position. The record is from Rfam by way of RNAcentral. Lineage: Bacteria; Pseudomonadati; Pseudomonadota; Gammaproteobacteria; Cellvibrionales; Spongiibacteraceae.